Molecule: long non-coding RNA, 199 nt
Filed under: Vigna radiata
Lineage: Eukaryota; Viridiplantae; Streptophyta; Magnoliopsida; Fabales; Fabaceae
Description: long non-coding RNA (VRAD_LNC003395)
Source: RNAcentral
CCGGUUAUACUUGACCUGAAGCUACUGUUUGGCUGAUUUCUCUUGCAUUUGAAAUUUAGCUUCUCUGUUGACUGGACUGACACUGGGCUGUUGAACGCUGUUACUUCCACUUGGAGUUGGUGCUGAAGCUGCUGCAAGGGCGUGACUGGUUGAAUUGGGCUAGAAGCAAUUAGGCCUGCUACUGAUUUAAUUGGGCCGC